AGGAGGAACAACCCCAGUGGCGGGGCAGCUCUGGAAACCUGGAUUCAGCUCCGGCAGGAACUCCGGAGCUCUCCGUCUGCAGGGCCUGGAGGCUCCGGGGCGGG
This is a non-coding RNA of Canis lupus familiaris (dog), 104 nucleotides long. The record is from Rfam. NCBI's taxonomy places the organism in Eukaryota, Metazoa, Chordata, Mammalia, Carnivora, Canidae.